AUGCACGCAGACGCGGCCAAGGCAUGGGCGGCUGCGGUCAACACGGCGGUCUCCUCCCUCCCUCCCUCCUGCACGCACGCACGCAUGCCGCCGAUGCGGCUGCAGUGGCAGGCAUCAGGUCCUCGCUUCAAGAAGAGAAAAGGACACACGUCGGGCGCAAACAGCAUCCCAUUUUUUGGUCGAUGGCUGACUGAAUUUCAGAUGUUUUGGCUAUGGAAGAUAGAAAAUGGGAUCAGCACCAGCAGUGGUCGUGCCGGAGUGCGCAAUCAACCGGCACCGCCUUCCGGGGCCGCCGCCCCGACAACCACCGCUCCGCUCGAGCAGCAACACCGCACAACCCAGCUGCCCGCAGCCCACGCUGCCCGGGGCAACCGCUCGCAGACCACGAACGUCGCACCACAUCCGGGGCCGCCGCCCCGACGUAAAGUCAGACCGCCCCCUCUAGGGCGCAUCGACCGAGUCAACACCCCUACCGCCCAAGCGGGACAAGGAUGCCACCCAACCAAUGUCGAGAUAGAGCCCCACCUCAUAGAGCUGCAGCUCACAUUGUUCCCGAGAUCGCCAUCUCGACGCACAAUCAGAAACCACCCGGAGCCGCCGCCCCGACGUCCACUGUCCCUGACGACGAAUAGAUUCGUGCAAACUGCAGCACAUCCCCCGCCCAUCCAGAUCGAAGACGAGGUGAGCCGCCCCCACGGCUAUGCUCCCCACCAUCGCGUCGCCCGGCACACGGCCCACGCUAUGCCGCUGCGCGAGACUGCGCCAGAGAGCCACCGCACCGCUGCUUCCACCGCCAGCACCACAUCCUGCCGAGGUCGCCCCGCCCUGCAUCGGGGCCACCGCGCGAGGCGACGAGAACGCCCCGCUUUGCUUGGCCGCACCCUGUGGCGGCGGCGAGGGAUGAGGAGCGGGGUGGAGGAGGCCUCUGGCGGCGGCGACUUGGUCGCCCUCCCUGUCGCACGCGGGGCGACGCGGGAGGGAUUGAUGUGGAAGAAGUUCAUAGGCCGUGGGUUUUUUCGCCUCAUCUUCCACCACCGUCCCCCUGUCCUCGGGCAACAGAACUACUACUCGAGCGCUGGCUACUCGGAUUUGAGCACGUCGAGGGACACGAAACCGCCGAGGAUGCCGCAACAGGCGUCGUGGCCACAGGCGCACGCUGCUGUGUACGUUGAGGACGAGGAGCACUCGGACUCCGGCGGCCUGACAGCACCAACUCGCAGCACUCCACCGUCGUAGCGACUCCGACGACUUGGCAGCACCGGCUCGCAGAACGACGGAGCCAUCGCAGCAUCGCCGGAGCAACCCGAGGCACCGUCACAGUAUCCUCGUUGCAGCAUUGCCGGAGCAGCCCGAGCCGCCGUCGCAGCAUGAUAGCGCCGUCGUAGCACCACUUGUUGUGAGUAUCGUUGGCCGGCGCCACUCACAGUAGCGGCUUCGCAACUGAGAUGCCGUCACCGCAGCAUGGCUGGAGCAGCCGGACCACCGUCGCAGCGGGUCGCCGCGGCAGGGAGCCAUCGCAGCAGGUCGCCGCAGCAUGGCUGUAGCAGACAGACCACCGUCACAGCAUGCUGCAUAGCACCUCUCCGACGAGAUCUUGCUGGAUAGAAGAGAGGAGAGAUAGAAGAAAGGGAGGAGGAUGAAGCAACAACGUGCUGAUUAUUUGUGGGGAAAACGUGUGGUUGGAGAGAACCAGCGAAGGGAUGAGGGGAGAGAGGAAGAAGCGGUGGGUGGGGCCUUUGGGACGUGUGUCAAGCUGAGGACACGGUUGACGCGAGGAUGUCUACAGCUGGAUGAAUAUAAGCAAUUCCCUAACUAUUUCACAUCUAAAUGUGAAAGAGCAAACCCGCAAUUAUAUAAAUAUUAGAUUUUAAUUAGGUUAAUAUGCGAUUAGGAUAAUACAUGAUUAGGC
Molecule: ribosomal RNA, 1909 nt
Filed under: Triticum aestivum (bread wheat)
Lineage: Eukaryota; Viridiplantae; Streptophyta; Magnoliopsida; Poales; Poaceae
Description: partial small subunit ribosomal RNA
Source: RNAcentral